AUUGAACGCUGGCGGCAGGCCUAACACAUGCCAGUCGAGCGGAUGAAGGGAGCUUGCUCCUGGAUUCAGCGGCGGACGGGUGAGUAAUGCCUAGGAAUCUGCCUGGUAGUGGGGGAUAACGUCCGGAAACGGGCGCUAAUACCGCAUACGUCCUGAGGGAGAAAGUGGGGGAUCUUCGGACCUCACGCUAUCAGAUGAGCCUAGGUCGGAUUAGCUAGUUGGUGGGGUAAAGGCCUACCAAGGCGACGAUCCGUAACUGGUCUGAGAGGAUGAUCAGUCACACUGGAACUGAGACACGGUCCAGACUCCUACGGGAGGCAGCAGUGGAGAAUAUUGGACAAUGGGCGAAAGCCUGAUCCAGCCAUGCCGCGUGUGUGAAGAAGGUCUUCGGAUUGUAAAGCACUUUAAGUUGGGAGGAAGGGCAGUAAGUUAAUACCUUGCUGUUUUGACGUUACCAACAGAAUAAGCACCGGCUAACUUCGUG
This 484-nucleotide ribosomal RNA is filed under the name uncultured bacterium. Its description in RNAcentral is "partial 16S ribosomal RNA". It matches the Rfam family "Bacterial small subunit ribosomal RNA", at positions 30 to 507 of the family's 1533-position model. The record is from RNAcentral.